GAGGGUAUAGCUCAGUGGUAAAGCACAUGCCUAGCAUGCACAAGGUCCUGGGAUCAAUCCCUAGUACCUCCA
RNAcentral lists this transfer RNA (72 nucleotides) under Camelus bactrianus (Bactrian camel). It matches the Rfam family "tRNA". Rfam says of the family: Transfer RNA (tRNA) molecules are approximately 80 nucleotides in length. Their secondary structure includes four short double-helical elements and three loops (D, anti-codon, and T loops). RNAcentral also lists the same sequence under 3 other names. The record is from Rfam by way of RNAcentral. Lineage: Eukaryota; Metazoa; Chordata; Mammalia; Artiodactyla; Camelidae.